UCGAGGCUCCAGAGCUGUGUUCCUAGCUCUUCAACUCCAAGUACUUCUACUCUUGUCAAGUCAUUGCAUUAACGAACAGGAGAAAAAAGAGAGAAACCCUCUCGGGUAGAGGAGAAAGAAAUGGUGAGGUAGAAGCCAGUUUUGCGAUUCUGCAAGGAAUUUCGGUUCGUUUGCUUUUCUUUGUUUUUGGGAAAGGCUUUUAGUUGCUGCGACGCUGUAUCCUGAAAUAGCCCCGUUACGUCCGGAGUUUCACGCUCCCGUUGGGCUCUCCGGCGUCUCCUUCAUGCACACUAUGGUUCUGCUAUGGGUUGCUUUUGAUCUGUCUACUUCUCCAAUUUUCAGAUGUGGUUUGCAUACUGGUUUAUGCCCUAACUAGUUCAGGUUAUCAUUGGUGAUCCGUGUUGAUCGGCGAUGCUGUGGCGUAGAUUGCUUUGAUUGGUGAUGCUGCUGACGAUUCCUAGUGGUGCAUUGUUGUGUAUCAAUUUCAGGUGGUGCCUCAUUUUCCUGUGAAUGGUUUGAGUUGAAUUAGACUUAUUGAUUUGGGUUGGGCUGAGUC
Long non-coding RNA from Manihot esculenta (cassava), 556 nucleotides. RefSeq lists it as uncharacterized. The transcript is spliced from 2 exons. Lineage: Eukaryota; Viridiplantae; Streptophyta; Magnoliopsida; Malpighiales; Euphorbiaceae. The record is from RefSeq and is a predicted model, not a curated record.